AGCUCCCGCGGAGGAGGCUGCGGGCGGCGCGCCGGGAUAGGGACCCUGCUGCUCCAGGGAGUUGAACUUGUCAAAUUAAUGUCUACAGUGAUAUGUAUGAAACAAAGGGAAGAAGAAUUCUUGCUAACCAUCAGACCUUUUGCAAACAGGAUGCAGAAAUCCCCUUGCUAUAUUCCCAUUGUGAGCAGUGCCACCCUGUGGGAUAGAAGCACACCCAGUGCAAAGCACAUCCCUUGUUAUGAAAGAACUUCAGUACCCUGCUCCAGAUUCAUUAAUCACAUGAAGAAUUUCUCUGAAUCUCCUAAAUUUUGUAGUCUACACUUUCUGAAUUUUCCAGGAAGUCAUCAUGGACAGGCCACACAGAAAUUACAGGGAGCUAUGGUUCUUCACCUUGAAGAAUGUCACCACUCCUAGAAGCCCUUUCCUGCACUUCCUGGCUCCUCAGGUUUCCUGCUUCAUCCUGCACCUGCCUUCUUGAAAGAAAACAAGACAUCAGAUACUUAUUCAAAUAAUGGAAUAGCUGAUCAACUGGGUCUCCACACAAAAGAGAGUUAUCCAUGAUAAAAGAACAACUUUUUCAUGCAUUAUAUGUGACACAUGCAUGCUUUCUCUUAAGAUUUAUGAACCCAUGACUACUAGUAUUGUUAAUAUAAUCAAACCUUUUACAGCCUCACUCCAAAGCUUAAACUUAUUAUCAAUUGGCUUCUAGAGGGGAGUCAAUCAAUUUCAUAAGUGCUUAAACACCUGCACUCUCUUUGAAUCAGGGGGAAAAAUCAAUACCAAGUCCUCAUUUUCUCCAAGUAUAUAAUGCAACCAAAUCUUGCUUACAAGUUCAGGAGGAUUUGUGAUUCAACAGUCACACUUUAAA
RNAcentral lists this small RNA (868 nucleotides) under Pan troglodytes (chimpanzee). RNAcentral's name for it is "processed transcript". Lineage: Eukaryota; Metazoa; Chordata; Mammalia; Primates; Hominidae. The record is from RNAcentral.